GCCAAACUAUCGAUUUCGCAAGUCCAUGGCUUCAUGUAGCUCAGUACUUCGUGUAGUUCAGUACUGUACCCAAGGUUUCGAAGACGGUCGCAGUGCAUUAGGAUCGACACUUUCAAAGGCUUCAAACUCAAAAUUCCGAAAUUGAAUCGUCGAUUCGGGAUUCCGUUUGUCUUGUCCUCGUGCGUGCGUCGAAUUUAAACAAAGCAGAACUGAUGCGAAGCAAAGGAUUAACCGAUUCGAAGUUUCGACGUAAAGAUCUCAGCUUGUUUCUAUUUCAUCUAGCUUCAUCCCAGAAACUCUUCGGACGCAUCACAAUGAUGACGAAACCAAGACUUCUACAUGAAUCAAUACGCUCGUCCUUCGUGCUCUAAUCAUCUUCGCGUGCAAAAACGAAACCAGUUUUUCUCGAGUCAAGCUUCGCACGCGGAAUCAAGGGGAAGCGGUGCGGCUUUGUUCAAAAGAUUCCUGUCGGUUACAGAAGAACGAGCAGAAGAAUGCUCACGAGAUCAGAAUCGCAAUGUAGUGGUUCUGCAGUGAUUUCGCAGGAAAUGAGAUUGGUUGAUGCGAAUCAAGUGUCAGCAUUCACUCUGCCAUGAACUGAUCCCUUAUUAUGAAUGUAACAGUUAGCACAAAAUUGCCAUGAUGAUUCUUAAUUGAUUUGUUUAGUUAGUGUCAAAUGUUGUUAGUGAACUUUACUCCGCUGCCAUGUGACUGGAGUAUUAUGCUAGUUUAUGAAAUCGGAACAAAAUGCAUGUUUUAUGACAUUGCAAUACAGGUUUGCUGUUGGGUUGUGAAAUCACUUCUGUCAUGUGUUUCAGCUUGAUAAUAUGUUGAUGCAGUUUGUCCUGUUUCUGUUUGCAUGCGCUUUAAGACAUGUGAGCUGCUAUAACCAUGGUCGGAUUGAUUCUGUUAUACGCUUCCAUUAUGAAUUACUUGGCCAUAUUAAAAUAUAUUGGUGUGUGAAUGUGCAUGGAAGUGGAUUAUCUGUUGUGUACAUGGAAGAUGAAGUUGUCCUCAUCCUGCCAAGUCACUUCUGCAGCAUUUUUAACUUGCUCUUCUUCUUUUCUUUUUUCACAUGCUGUCAAAUGGUGAUCUCAAGCUGUCUGGACCUGUUUUCUUGCAAGCCACGAAAGUUAUGCUCAUAAGUGGAUUGUAUUGGCUUGGAGAAACAUGGCCAUGGUGAAAUAGAUAUUAGGGACCUAGAUUACAUGUUAGGAUUUGCUUGACUUAGGUUUCCAUGGUUGGAUUUUUUUAAUUUUGGGAUGAUUUUGUAGUGGUAGGAAUAUAUGGUCAUGUAUUUAUGAUUUAGAAUUAAUGGCAUCGGCUAGAAGCUACUUGGCAUUGGAUUGUGGAUUAUUGUAUUUUGUGAUUGAAAUGUGAUGAAUAAAAUAAUGGUUUAUGUA
Lathyrus oleraceus (garden pea) is the source of this 1403-nucleotide long non-coding RNA. RefSeq lists it as uncharacterized. The transcript has 3 exons. The record is from RefSeq and is a predicted model, not a curated record. NCBI's taxonomy places the organism in Eukaryota, Viridiplantae, Streptophyta, Magnoliopsida, Fabales, Fabaceae.